Molecule: ribosomal RNA, 253 nt
Filed under: uncultured bacterium
Lineage: Bacteria
Description: partial 16S ribosomal RNA
Rfam family: Bacterial small subunit ribosomal RNA
Source: RNAcentral
CACGUAGGGUGCAAGCGUUGUCCGGAAUUACUGGGCGUAAAGGGCUCGUAGGCGGCCAACUAAGUCAGACGUGAAAUCCCUCGGCUUAACCGGGGAACUGCGUCUGAUACUGGAUGGCUUGAAUCCGGGAGAGGGAUGCGGAAUUCCAGGUGUAGCGGUGAAAUGCGUAGAUAUCUGGAGGAACACCGGUGGCGAAGGCGGCAUCCUGGACCGGCAUUGACGCUGAGGAGCGAAAGCCAGGGGAGCAAACGGG